Molecule: ribosomal RNA, 492 nt
Filed under: uncultured bacterium
Lineage: Bacteria
Description: partial 16S ribosomal RNA
Rfam family: Bacterial small subunit ribosomal RNA
Source: RNAcentral
AGUGAACGCUGGCGGUAGGCCUAACACAUGCAAGUCGAACGGCAGCACAGUAAGAGCUUGCUCUUACGGGUGGCGAGUGGCGGACGGGUGAGGAAUACAUCGGAAUCUACUUUUUCGUGGGGGAUAACGUAGGGAAACUUACGCUAAUACCGCAUACGACCUACGGGUGAAAGCAGGGGAUCUUCGGACCUUGUGCGAUUGAAUGAGCCGAUGUCGGAGUAGCUAGUUGGCGGGGUAAAGGCCCACCAAGGCGACGAUCCGUAGCUGGUCUGAGAGGAUGAUCAGCCACACUGGAACUGAGACACGGUCCAGACUCCUACGGGAGGCAGCAGUGGGGAAUAUUGGACAAUGGUCGCAAGCCUGAUCCAGCGAUACCGCGUGGGUGAAGAAGGCCUUCGGGUUGUAAAGCCGUUUUGUUGGGAAAGAAAAGCAGCAGGUUAAUACCACGCUGUUCUGACGGUACCCAAAGAAUAAGCACCGGCUAACUUCGUG